UACAGAGGUGGCAAGCGUUGUUCGGAAUUACUGGGCGUAAAGGGCGCGUAGGUGGCCUUUUGAGUCAGACGUGAAAUCCCCGGGCUUAACUCGGGAACUGCGUCUGAUACUGGAAGGCUUGAGUUCGGGAGAGGAAUGUGGAAUUCCAGGUGUAGCGGUGAAAUGCGUAGAUAUCUGGAGGAACACCGGUGGCGAAGGCGGCAUUCUGGACCGAAACUGACGCUGAUGCGCGAAAGCCAGGGGAGCAAAC
RNAcentral lists this ribosomal RNA (250 nucleotides) under uncultured bacterium. RNAcentral describes it as "partial 16S ribosomal RNA". It matches the Rfam family "Bacterial small subunit ribosomal RNA", at positions 524 to 773 of the family's 1533-position model. The record is from RNAcentral.